Molecule: ribosomal RNA, 496 nt
Filed under: uncultured bacterium
Lineage: Bacteria
Description: partial 16S ribosomal RNA
Rfam family: Bacterial small subunit ribosomal RNA
Source: RNAcentral
AUGAACGCUGGCGGCGUGCCUAAUACAUGCAAGUCGAGCGAACAGAUGAGGAGCUUGCUCCUCUGACGUUAGCGGCGGACGGGUGAGUAACACGUGGAUAACCUACCUAUAAGACUGGGAUAACUUCGGGAAACCGGAGCUAAUACCGGAUAAUAUAUUGAACCGCAUGGUUCAAUUGUGAAAGACGGUUUUGCUGUCACUUAUAGAUGGAUCCGCGCCGCAUUAGCUAGUUGGUAAGGUAACGGCUUACCAAGGCAACGAUGCGUAGCCGACCUGAGAGGGUGAUCGGCCACACUGGAACUGAGACACGGUCCAGACUCCUACGGGAGGCAGCAGUAGGGAAUCUUCCGCAAUGGGCGAAAGCCUGACGGAGCAACGCCGCGUGAGUGAUGAAGGUCUUCGGAUCGUAAAACUCUGUUAUUAGGGAAGAACAAAUGUGUAAGUAACUAUGCACGUCUUGACGGUACCUAAUCAGAAAGCCACGGCUAACUACGUG